UCAAGAGUAAACCUCACCUACGGAAGAACGUGGGUAGACGAGGGACGUACUCAAGAGUAAACCUCACCUACGGAAGAACGUGGGUAGACGAGGGACGUACUCAAGAGUAAACCUCACCUACGGAGGAACGUGGGUAGACGAGGGACGUACUCAAGAGUAAACCUCACCUACGGAGGAAUGUGGGUAGACGAAGGACGUGGGUAGACGAGGGACGUACUCAAGAGUAAACCUCACCUACGGAGGAACGUGGGUAGACGAGGGACGUACUCAAGAGUAAACCUCACCUACGGAGGAACGUGGGUAGACGAGGG
RNAcentral lists this long non-coding RNA (311 nucleotides) under Zostera marina. RNAcentral describes it as "long non-coding RNA (ZMAR_LNC001312)". The record is from RNAcentral. Lineage: Eukaryota; Viridiplantae; Streptophyta; Magnoliopsida; Alismatales; Zosteraceae.